ACCAUAUAUAGCAAAUUAUUCUAAACCUCCCUCUUGUCUUCUCCAUGAUCUGUAAACGCCUGUCACGGAUGACUAUCAACGCACGCCUAAUUUUCAUCCAACUAUUCCUUACAUUCUCUGUUACCAUUGCUGCAGGAGGUACUGAAUCUGAAAAUACACGUGUCAGUAGUACUGGCUUGAAAAAUUACAUAGUCCAUGUAAAGAGACAAGUAGCUUCACUAUCUACAAUAAGCAGCGAAGAUCUGAAGGCAUACCAUCGAUCAUUUCUUCCCUUUAAUACUCGUCUUGCAUCCUCGGAGAAAGAGGAACCAUUACUUUACUCAUACCAAAAUGUUGUCAGUGGUUUUGCAGCAAGACUCACUGAUGCCGAUAUUGAAGCCAUGAGUAAAAUAGAUGGG
This 398-nucleotide long non-coding RNA is filed under the name Lactuca sativa (garden lettuce). RNAcentral describes it as "long non-coding RNA (LSAT_LNC006799)". Lineage: Eukaryota; Viridiplantae; Streptophyta; Magnoliopsida; Asterales; Asteraceae. The record is from RNAcentral.